AGAUUGAACGCUGGCGGCGUGCCUAACACAUGCAAGUCGAGCGGUAGCAGGUGUAGCAAUACAUGCUGACGAGCGGCGAACGGGUGAGUAAUGCAUCGGAACGUAUCCUUGAGUGGGGGAUAACGCAGCGAAAGUUGUGCUAAUACCGCAUAAGCUCUGAGGAGGAAAGCGGGGGAUCGUAAGACCUCGCGCUGGUGGAUGAGCCUACGUCCGAUUAGUUAGUUGGUGGGGUAAAGGCCUACCAAGGCUACGAUCGGUAGCUGGUCUGAGAGGACGACCAGCCACACUGGGACUGAGACACGGCCCAGACUCCUACGGGAGGCAGC
Molecule: ribosomal RNA, 326 nt
Filed under: uncultured prokaryote
Description: bacterial SSU rRNA
Rfam family: Bacterial small subunit ribosomal RNA
Source: RNAcentral